This is a long non-coding RNA of Lycium barbarum (goji berry), 784 nucleotides long. RefSeq lists it as uncharacterized. NCBI's taxonomy places the organism in Eukaryota, Viridiplantae, Streptophyta, Magnoliopsida, Solanales, Solanaceae. The transcript is spliced from 2 exons. The record is from RefSeq and is a predicted model, not a curated record.
GUGAUUUUUUGGCUUUUUAAUUAAUUUUAAAAUGAGGAAAAAUUCAAAAAAAAAAAAAAAGAGAAGAUAAAUAGCAUUCUAGACCAUAGAAAGGUGCCGCAUCACCUUGUCUAUGCGUAGCUUUAUAUAUUAUAUAUAUAUAUAGAUAUAUUAGUAAUAUAAUAGACAACAGACAAGUGCUUUUAUGUCAUAUGAAAUGCAAUCGUAGUAGGUUAGUACAACACACGACAUGCACGAGUUCACAAUAUAUUAUUGGAUAUUUGUAAGGAAAUGACAUGCUAGGGGGCUAUAAAUAGGGCCCGUAAUUCAGCAAUAAAACUCAACCAAUACACUUUGCUUUGUGUCAUUUUUAAAGUUGUGUUAACAUGGCCGGAAAUAAGAUUACUUUUCUUUUUGCUGUUGUGCUUGUGGCGAUUACUGUUAAUUUCUUCAGCAUUCCGAAUAUGCAAGUGAUGGCAUCACGAAACUUACCAUUAGAUAUGUAUAAUAUUGUGGAAGGAAACCUACUGAUCACCACACUUAAGGACAGAGCUUGUCUUUUAGCUUGUCGCGCUCAUUCAGACUGCUCUAGUGGCACGGUUUGCAAACGUUGUGGGCCCAAUUGGACAUGUUCUCCUUAGUAAUUAUAUCGAAAUUUAUAUAUAUGUUUGUGUUGUUUUCCUGUUUCAUGUUCCUCUUUCCAUCUUUCUGUCACUCAUGAUCAGAUAUUUGAGUGUUUUAUGAUAUUAGUGUGUAAUAAGUUUCAAUAUCAAUAAUAAUGAUGAGUGUGCUAAUUAAGUAUGUA